This 358-nucleotide ribosomal RNA is filed under the name uncultured bacterium. RNAcentral describes it as "bacterial SSU rRNA". It matches the Rfam family "Bacterial small subunit ribosomal RNA", at positions 29 to 417 of the family's 1533-position model. The record is from RNAcentral.
AACGAACGCUGGCGGCAGGCCUAACACAUGCAAGUCGAACGCUCCGCAAGGGGAGUGGCGCACGGGUGAGUAACACGUGGGAACCUACCUUCUGGUACGGAACAACCAAGGGAAACUUUGGCUAAAACCGUAUACGACCUCCGGGUGAAAGAUUGAUCGCCGGAAGAGGGGCCCGCGUCCGAUUAGGUAGUUGGUGAGGUAACGGCUCACCAAGCCUACGAUCGGUAGCUGGUCUGAGAGGAUGACCAGCCACACUGGGACUGAGACACGGCCCAGACUCCUACGGAGGCAGCAGUGGGGAAUCUUGCGCAAUGGGCGAAAGCCUGACGCAGCGACGCCGCGUGAGGGAUGACGGCCU